GCCCUUCGGGGUACUCGAGUGGCGAACGGGUGAGUAACACGUGGGUGAUCUGCCCUGCACUUCGGGAUAAGCCUGGGAAACUGGGUCUAAUACCGANUNNNACCACGCGCUUCAUGGUGUGUGGUGGAAAGCUUUUGCGGUGUGGGAUGGGCCCGCGGCCUAUCAGCUUGUUGGUGGGGUAAUGGCCUACCAAGGCGACGACGGGUAGCCGGCCUGAGAGGGUGACCGGCCACACUGGGACUGAGAUACGGCCCAGACUCCUACGGGAGGCAGCAGUGGGGAAUAUUGCACAAUGGGCGCAAGCCUGAUGCAGCGACGCCGCGUGAGGGAUGACGGCCUUCGGGUUGUAAACCUCUUUCAAUAGGGACGAAGCGCAAGUGACGGUACCUAUAGAAGAAGCACCGGCCAACUACGUGCCAGCAGCCGCGGUAAUACGUAGGGUGCGAGCGUUGUCCGGAAUUACUGGGCGUAAAGAGCUCGUAGGUGGUUUGUCGCGUUGUUCGUGAAAACUCACAGCUUAACUGUGGGCGUGCGGGCGAUACGGGCAGACUAGAGUACUGCAGGGGAGACUGGAAUUCCUGGUGUAGCGGUGGAAUGCGCAAAUAUCAGGAGGAACACCGGUGGCGAAGGCGGGUCUCUGGGCAGUAACUGACGCUGAGGAGCGAAAGCGUGGGGAGCGNNNNNNAUUAGAUACCCUGGUAGUCCACGCCGUANACGGUGGGUACUAGGUGUGGGUUCCUUCCUUGGGAUCCGUGCCGUAGCUAACGCAUUAAGUACCCCGCCUGGGGAGUANNNCNGCAAGGC
This 804-nucleotide ribosomal RNA is filed under the name uncultured bacterium. RNAcentral's name for it is "bacterial SSU rRNA". It matches the Rfam family "Bacterial small subunit ribosomal RNA", at positions 75 to 894 of the family's 1533-position model. The record is from RNAcentral.